GCUGGCGGCGUGCUUAACACAUGCAAGUCGCGUGCGCAGUUUCCGUAGCAAUACGGGGAUCGGCGCACGGCGCACGGGUGCGUAACACGUGGGCAAUCUGCCCUCCGAUGGGGAAUACCCCCGCGAAAGCGGGACUAAUUCCGCAUAACAUUCCUUGGACUAACGUUCGAGGAUUCAAAGCAGCAAUGCGUCGGAGGAGGAGCCCGCGCCCGAUUAGCUAGUUGGUGAGGUAACGGCUCACCAAGGCAAUGAUCGGUAGCUGGUCUGAGAGGAUGGCCAGCCACACUGGAACUGAGACACGGUCCAGACUCCUACGGGAGGCAGCAGUGGGGAAUCUUGCACAAUGGGCGAAAGCCUGAUGCAGCGACGCCGCGUGGGGGAUGAAGCUUUUCGGAGUGUAAACCCCUUUCGACUGGGACGAAUGCCUCGCAAGAGGAGUGACGGUACCAGUAUAAGAAGCCCCGGCUAACUACGUGCCGGCAGCCGCGGUAAGACGUAGGGGGCCAGCGUUGUUCGGAAUUACUGGGUGUAAAGGGUUC
This 539-nucleotide ribosomal RNA is filed under the name uncultured soil bacterium. RNAcentral describes it as "bacterial SSU rRNA". It matches the Rfam family "Bacterial small subunit ribosomal RNA", at positions 35 to 570 of the family's 1533-position model. The record is from RNAcentral.